RNAcentral lists this ribosomal RNA (621 nucleotides) under Kocuria rhizophila. RNAcentral's name for it is "bacterial SSU rRNA". It matches the Rfam family "Bacterial small subunit ribosomal RNA", at positions 56 to 685 of the family's 1533-position model. Lineage: Bacteria; Bacillati; Actinomycetota; Actinomycetes; Micrococcales; Micrococcaceae. The record is from RNAcentral.
UGCAGUCGACGCUGAAAGCUUGGUGCUUGCACUGGGUGGAUGAGUGGCGAACGGGUGAGUAAUACGUGAGUAACCUGCCCUUGACUCUGGGAUAAGCCUGGGAAACUGGGUCUAAUACUGGAUACGACAUGUCACCGCAUGGUGGUGUGUGGAAAGGGUUUUACUGGUUUUGGAUGGGCUCACGGCCUAUCAGCUUGUUGGUGGGGUAAUGGCUCACCAAGGCGACGACGGGUAGCCGGCCUGAGAGGGUGACCGGCCACACUGGGACUGAGACACGGCCCAGACUCCUACGGGAGGCAGCAGUGGGGAAUAUUGCACAAUGGGCGGAAGCCUGAUGCAGCGACGCCGCGUGAGGGAUGACGGCCUUCGGGUUGUAAACCUCUUUCAGCACGGAAGAAGCGAAAGUGACGGUACGUGCAGAAGAAGCGCCGGCUAACUACGUGCCAGCAGCCGCGGUAAUACGUAGGGCGCAAGCGUUGUCCGGAAUUAUUGGGCGUAAAGAGCUCGUAGGCGGUUUGUCGCGUCUGCUGUGAAAGCCCGGGGCUUAACCCCGGGUGUGCAGUGGGUACGGGCAGACUUGAGUGCAGUAGGGGAGACUGGAAUUCCUGGUGUAGCGGUGAA